UGCAGUCGAGCGGACAGAUGGGAGCUUGCUCCCUGAUGUUAGCGGCGGACGGGUGAGUAACACGUGGGUAACCUGCCUGUAAGACUGGGAUAACUCCGGGAAACCGGGGCUAAUACCGGAUGCUUGAUUGAACCGCAUGGUUCAAUUAUAAAAGGUGGCUUUUAGCUACCACUUACAGAUGGACCCGCGGCGCAUUAGCUAGUUGGUGAGGUAACGGCUCACCAAGGCAACGAUGCGUAGCCGACCUGAGAGGGUGAUCGGCCACACUGGGACUGAGACACGGCCCAAACUCCUACGGGAGGCAGCAGUAGGGAAUCUUCCGCAAUGGACGAAAGUCUGACGGAGCAACGCCGCGUGAGUGAUGAAGGUUUUCGGAUCGUAAAACUCUGUUGUUAGGGAAGAACAAGUACCGUUCGAAUAGGGCGGUACCUUGACGGUACCUAACCAGAAAGCCACGGCUAACUACGUGCCAGCAGCCGCGGUAAUACGUAGGUGGCAAGCGUUGUCCGGAAUUAUUGGGCGUAAAGCGCGCGCAGGCGGGUUUCUUAAGUCUGAUGUGAAAGCCCCCGGCUCAACCGGGGAGGGUCAUUGGAAACUGGGGAACUUGAGUGCAGAAAAGGAAAGUGGAAUUCCACGUGUAGCGGUGAAAUGCGUAAAGAUGUGGAGGAACACCAGUGGCGAAGGCGACUCUCUGGUCUGUAACUGACGCUGAGGCGCGAAAGCGUGGGGAGCGAACAGGAUUAGAUACCCUGGUAGUCCACGCCGUAAACGAUGAG
Molecule: ribosomal RNA, 776 nt
Filed under: Bacillus licheniformis
Lineage: Bacteria; Bacillati; Bacillota; Bacilli; Caryophanales; Bacillaceae
Description: bacterial SSU rRNA
Rfam family: Bacterial small subunit ribosomal RNA
Source: RNAcentral